Molecule: long non-coding RNA, 271 nt
Filed under: Salmo salar (Atlantic salmon)
Lineage: Eukaryota; Metazoa; Chordata; Actinopteri; Salmoniformes; Salmonidae
Description: lncRNA (ENSSSAG00000084098.1)
Source: RNAcentral
GUCUAGCAUUGUCUUGCAUUAGGAGGAACCCAGGGCCAACCGCACCAGCAUAUGGUCUCACAAGGGGUCUGAGGAUCUCAUCUCGGUACCUAAUGGCAGUCAGGCUACCUCUGGCGAGCACAUGGAGGGCUGUGCGGCCCCCCCAAAGAAAUGCCACCCCACACCAUGACUGACCCACCGCCAAACCGGUCAUGCUGGAGGAUGUUGCAGGCAGCAGAACGUUCUCCACGGCGUCUCCAGACUCUGUCACGUCUGUCACAGCGUCGUGUAG